GAUGAAGAACGUAGCGAAAUGCGAUACUUGGUGUGAAUUGCAGAAUCCCGUGAACCAUCGAGUCUUUGAACGCAAGUUGCGCCCGAAGCCAUUAGGCCGAGGGCACGCCUGCCUGGGCGUCACACGUCGUUGCCCCCCCAUCUACUCCUUCGGGAUUGCGGGGGGCGGAUGAUGGCCUCCCGUGCGCCUCGUCGCGCGGUUGGCCUAAAUGCCAAGUCCUCGGCGACGCACGCCACGACAAUCGGUGGUUGCGAAACCUCGGUUGCCCGUCGUGUGCGGUCGUCGCGCAUCGAGGGCUCGAAAAAAUUGCCGGGCUUCGGCUCGACUUUCAACGCGACCCCAGGUCAGGCGGGGUUACCCGCUGAAUUUAAGCACAUCAAUAAGCGGAGGA
This 391-nucleotide unclassified non-coding RNA is filed under the name soil metagenome. RNAcentral's name for it is "partial contains 5.8S ribosomal RNA, internal transcribed spacer 2, and large subunit ribosomal RNA". The stretch from base 1 to 122 matches the Rfam family "5.8S ribosomal RNA", at positions 35 to 154 of the family's 154-position model. The record is from RNAcentral.